This 230-nucleotide ribosomal RNA is filed under the name uncultured bacterium. RNAcentral's name for it is "partial 16S ribosomal RNA". It matches the Rfam family "Bacterial small subunit ribosomal RNA", at positions 563 to 791 of the family's 1533-position model. The record is from RNAcentral.
AAGGGUCCGUAGGCGGACUCGUAAGUCAGUGGUGAAAUCUCAUAGCUUAACUAUGAAACUGCCAUUGAUACUGCGGGGUCUUGAGUAAGGUAGAGGUAGCUGGAAUAAGUAGUGUAGCGGUGAAAUGCAUAGAUAUUACUUAGAACACCAAUUGCGAAGGCAGGUUACCAUGUCUUAACUGACGCUGAUGGACGAAAGCGUGGGGAGCGAACAGGAUUAGAUACCCCUGU